AAGACAUGAAGUUAGGUCAGCAAACCCGCUGAAUUUAAGCAUAUAAGUAAGCGGAGGAAAAGAAACUAAAUAGGAUUCCCUCAGUAAUGGCGAAUGAACAGGGAUGAGCUCAGUAUGGAAAUUGGGGCCUGUGGCCUUGAAUUGUAGUCUGGAGAUGUACCACCAACUGGGGCGCAGAUGUAAGCCUCUUGGAAAAGAGCAUCAAUGAGGGUGAGAGUCCCGCUUGGCAUCUGCAGUCCCCAGUGCACGGUGUACCUUCUAAGAGUCACGUUCCUCGGGAUUGGAGCGCAAAUUGGGUGGUAAAUUUCAUCUAAAGCUAAAUAUUGUUUCGAGACCGAUAGCAAACAAGUACCAUGAGGGAAAGGUGAAAAGGACUUUGAAAAGAGAGUUAAAAGUGCCUGAAAUUGCUGAAAGGGAAGCGAAUGGAACCAGCGUAACUUGGUGAGAUUGCUGCGUAUCAAUGUGAUUGCUUGCUGCUUCAACGUAAGUGUGGUAGUAAGUCUUGAACAGGACAUGCGUGGUGUUUCUUGCCUUGUGUGUCACUGCCAGUUCACAGCUGGGGAAAACUUCAGGGGCAUGGUAGCCUGUCUCCGGGUGGGUGAACGUGUCUGCUGGAACUCAUUUGUGGACUGAUUGGUGACUAAAUGGUUCCAUCUGACCCGUCUUGAAACAC
This 673-nucleotide ribosomal RNA is filed under the name Scrippsiella aff. acuminata. RNAcentral's name for it is "LSU rRNA". It matches the Rfam family "Eukaryotic large subunit ribosomal RNA", at positions 1 to 662 of the family's 3401-position model. Lineage: Eukaryota; Dinophyceae; Peridiniales; Peridiniaceae. The record is from RNAcentral.